UACGAGAGGCCCAAACGUUAUUCGGAAUUACUGGGCUUAAAGAGUUCGUAGGCGGCAUGAACAGUAGGGUGUGAAAGCCCUCGGCUCAACCGAGGAAUUGCGCUCUAAACUGUCGUGCUAGAGGAACCUAGAGGUGAGCAGAACUGAUGGUGGAGCGGUGAAAUGCGUUGAUAUCAUCAGGAAUACCGGAGGCGAAGGCGGCUCACUGGGGGUUUUCUGACGCUGAGGAACGAAAGCCAGGGGAGCGAACGGG
RNAcentral lists this ribosomal RNA (253 nucleotides) under uncultured bacterium. RNAcentral's name for it is "partial 16S ribosomal RNA". It matches the Rfam family "Bacterial small subunit ribosomal RNA", at positions 524 to 776 of the family's 1533-position model. The record is from RNAcentral.